Long non-coding RNA from Grus americana (Whooping crane), 442 nucleotides. RefSeq lists it as uncharacterized. The transcript has 3 exons. The record is from RefSeq and is a predicted model, not a curated record. NCBI's taxonomy places the organism in Eukaryota, Metazoa, Chordata, Aves, Gruiformes, Gruidae.
UUUCGAGUGGCUGCUAAUAUGAUGUGUACGACUUCAGACAUUUAUGGACAGGACUGAGAUACAGAAGAGCUACCUCAAGAGAAUGUGACUGGCUAGACUGAAAUUGAGAGGGGAGAUUUUCCCCAAGAUCUUCAGACAUAUGGACCUCAAGGUUGGUGGUGGCAUCAAAGGGCACCUGAUGUUUCUUGGGACUCGGACCUUCAUGGCUCGCUAUGAGGAACCGAUUAUGGAGUUGAAGGUCCUUCACUGAGAGAGCCUGGACUCUGGAUCAGUAAAUAAGUCACCCUCCAUCCAGCUUGUCUACAUCUGUGCCGUCUCAGGCCCAGACAGAGGGAGGCUGUCAGCCUGGGCACUCCAGCAGAUCUUCACUGUCACAGAGGGGCACGGAAGGAAAAGCAGUCUGUAAGACAGAGAAGGACACAUAUGCCUUUACUUUGUACAG